AACUUUCGGCAACGGAUCUCUUGGCUCUGGCAUCGAUGAAGAACGCAGCGAAAUGCGAUAAGUAAUGUGAAUUGCAGAAUUCAGUGAAUCAUCGAAUCUUUGAACGCACAUUGCGCCCGCCAGUAUUCUGGCGGGCAUGCCUGUUCGAGCGUCAUUUCAACCCUCAAGCCCCAGCCGGCUUGGUGUUGGGGACCGGCCCCGGCCGCCCCCCAAAUGCAGUGGCGACCUCGCCGCAGCCUCCCCUGCGUAGUAGCACAACCUCGCACCGGAGCGCGGAGACGGUCACGCCGUAAAACGCCCAACUUCUCAGAGUUGACCUCGGAUCAGGUAGGAAUACCCGCUGAACUUAAGCAUAUCAAUAAGCGGAGGCU
Molecule: unclassified non-coding RNA, 371 nt
Filed under: uncultured Tolypocladium
Lineage: Eukaryota; Fungi; Ascomycota; Sordariomycetes; Hypocreales; Clavicipitaceae
Description: sequence contains ITS2
Rfam family: 5.8S ribosomal RNA (bases 1-154)
Source: RNAcentral